This 306-nucleotide long non-coding RNA is filed under the name Elaeis guineensis (African oil palm). RNAcentral describes it as "long non-coding RNA (EGUI_LNC069136)". Lineage: Eukaryota; Viridiplantae; Streptophyta; Magnoliopsida; Arecales; Arecaceae. The record is from RNAcentral.
CAUUUUUACCUUGAGGUAUCUAAUGCCAAUAGAGUGGUUGUACCUUCUCGAUGCAAUCGAACCACUGUAACCAGUCGAGAAUGAUCAAUGUCAAAAAAAGGCACCCGCAUCUCUACAAUAGUAGAAAGACCAGUGGAUUUAAUAUUUAGUAAGAAGAUUUAGGUUCAGAUCUCUUCUAAUUAGUUACAUACAUCUGACGUAAUGACUAAUCUAGUUUAGAUCAGCAUAUUUCAUGUCUGACCAACCUAGUCGGCAUGGGUGAACUCGGGUCAACAAGUGACCUAAUACUAAAUAUAAUCUCCCAAA